Molecule: ribosomal RNA, 600 nt
Filed under: Halomonas sp. YIM C227
Lineage: Bacteria; Pseudomonadati; Pseudomonadota; Gammaproteobacteria; Oceanospirillales; Halomonadaceae
Description: bacterial SSU rRNA
Rfam family: Bacterial small subunit ribosomal RNA
Source: RNAcentral
UGAACGCUGGCGGCAGGCUUAACACAUGCAAGUCGAGCGGUAACAGGGGGUGCUUGCACCCCGCUGACGAGCGGCGGACGGGUGAGUAAUACAUAGGAAUCUGCCCAGUAGUGGGGGAUAGCCCGGGGAAACCCGGAUUAAUACCGCAUACGCCCUUUGGGGGAAAGCAGGGGAUCUUCGGACCUUGCGCUAUUGGAUGAGCCUAUGUCGGAUUAGCUAGUUGGUGGGGUAAGAGCCUACCAAGGCGACGAUCCGUAGCUGGUCUGAGAGGAUGAUCAGCCACAUCGGGACUGAGACACGGCCCGAACUCCUACGGGAGGCAGCAGUGGGGAAUAUUGGACAAUGGGGGCAACCCUGAUCCAGCCAUGCCGCGUGUGUGAAGAAGGCUUUCGGGUUGUAAAGCACUUUCAGUGAGGAGGAAAACCUUNCGACUAAUACUCGUGAGGCUUGACGUUACUCACAGAAGAAGCACCGGCUAACUCCGUGCCAGCAGCCGCGGUAAUACGGAGGGUGCAAGCGUUAAUCGGAAUUACUGGGCGUAAAGCGCGCGUAGGUGGUUUGAUAAGCGAGAUGUGAAAGCCCCGGGCUUAACCUGGGAAC